This is a long non-coding RNA of Gallus gallus (chicken), 1844 nucleotides long. Lineage: Eukaryota; Metazoa; Chordata; Aves; Galliformes; Phasianidae. The record is from Ensembl.
AGGAGAAGGAAGGAAGGAAGUCUGUGUUAGAUACUCACUUUCACCAUUCGGCCGCUUUACUGACAAGUUCUCGAAACAUGUCAGAACAAGUAUUGCUUCAUUGUUACUAGCAUUCACCUAUUUCAGCAGAGAUCAGCUAAGAUCAUCCAUCUUAUUGCCAGCCUUGUAUUUCAGCAUGCCUUCUUAUCACAAACUGGAUUAGAAAAUUUACUAAAUAUUGUUUUAAAAUAUUUAUAAGUAAACCCCUAUAUCUCAGGGGCAGAAAACAAAAAGCAAUCCAUUAGAUUGUGAAUUAACAUAUGUUGAAAGAAAGAAUUUCUCAGAUUUAUUUUUCUCUAUGUGUUCUAUGCUGGUAUUUGGAAUUAAAUACAGCUGAGGUAUAGUAGCAUUUAUAUAGAUUAUAUGAAGAGAAUGACUUGCCUCAAAACAAUGUAAAACAGGAAAGUAAAAUUUAAGAGCAACAAGUGUGCAAAAGUACAAACCUACGGCAUUUUUUUUCCUUUCCCUCACCUCUUCAGAGUAUACCAGUGCUGCAGCUUGUGAUGGGGGAGAGGAUCAAAUCACCUCUGGGAAAGAAAGUCUGAGCAGAUGUUUCCUGCAACCCAGAUGCUCCAGUCAUGAGGCUAUGAGGAAGAGGGGAGCCAUUGCAUGGUGUUAAGAUGUGAUCCUUCUGGAUUUACUGCAACCUGGACAUCAACUUUCUGCCGCAUCUUGACACUGCCUAAGCUGAAGGUUUGAACUUCCAGAGUCAGGCCAGAGAAGAAGACAACCUUUAUUUUGGAACACAAUUAUGCCAGGCCCAUUACUUUGAAGACUGUGAAACACAUUGCCAGUCUUGUCUGGACUGACCUACCACAUCCACAUAUAAUCUGAGUUUAGUGCCUUUUGACUUCCAUCUGUUUGGGCCAAUGAAAGAUGGACUGUUAAAGCAACACUUUCUCAGCAUUAAAACACCAUCAUAGGCGUUGUGAAACAGUGGGUCAUCUCAGCUAGUGCAGAUUUUUAUGAGCAUGGCAUUUAGGCUCUUGUUCAUCACUGGCAAAAAUGCAUAGCCAGUAGAGGUGAAUGUUGAAAAAUCACUUUGUAGCUGAGAAUCUAUUCUAUCCAGCCAUAUUAUUUGUGCUCUCUGUAUCUGUUGUAAUUUCUAUGGAAAUGAAUGUUAAAAGGCAUUACUUUCAGAGCAACCUACAUCUACAGAUGGAACACUGCCAAAUAUUUUCUCUCUUUUUUUUUUUUAAUGCCUGAAAUAAAAAAAUAAAAAAGGACUUUAUAACUUAAAGUGUAAGGCAACAUUAUGAUUAUGCAGUUGCAACAGCCUGCCAACUGUAAUAUUUUCAGAGAAGCAGGAUUUCUUAAUUCCCAAUAGAUUUCACUGAAGAGAUGAUCUGGGGGAGUCAUUAAAAGCUAUCUUUCCAAAGUGAAAAUGAAGGUUAAUUAAUUCUGCAAAAGGGAUUCAUGAUUAUAUAUUAGAGAAUAAUUGCCAUAUAAAUCUGUUUUCUUGAUUUUCACCAGGUGGAUGAAAUGAUCUUUUACAAAAAAAAAAAAAAAAUUAUAAGGAAGAUUAUUUUUCCGGUGAUAUAGCAGUAUACUUUGAUGUUAAUAAUGUAGUGGAUUGGGCUUAUAAGAUUUGGGAAGCUUUGAGAUGCUUGUGUUGCAAUGUUUGAUCCUAUCAUUGUUGACCCAAUGCCUUAGUAAGGAAUAUAUACCAUAUUAAAUCUAUGAAAUUUAUUGUUGUUUAUUUUUUUAUUGUUGCUUAUAUUUAUGGAAUGAUUAUUAGUUACAAAUUGGUGAACUGGGUUGAAUUUUUCAUGUUCUAGAGUUUGGAGUAGGUUGACUGAACUAAU